GACGAACGCUGGCGGCGUGCUUAACACAUGCAAGUCGAACGGAAAGGCCCUGCUUUUGUGGGGUGCUCGAGUGGCGAACGGGUGAGUAACACGUGAGUAACCUGCCCUUGACUUUGGGAUAACUUCAGGAAACUGGGGCUAAUACCGGAUAGGAGCUCCUGCUGCAUGGUGGGGGUUGGAAAGUUUCGGCGGUUGGGGAUGGACUCGCGGCUUAUCAGCUUGUUGGGGGGGUAGUGGCUUACCAAGGCUUUGACGGGUAGCCGGCCUGAGAGGGUGACCGGCCACAUUGGGACUGAGAUACGGCCCAGACUCCUACGGGAGGCAGCAGUGGGGAAUAUUGCACAAUGGGCGGAAGCCUGAUGCAGCAACGCCGCGUGCGGGAUGACGGCCUUCGGUUUGUAAACCGCUUUCGCCUGUGACGAAGCGUGAGUGACGGUAAUGGGUAAAGAAGCACCGGCUAACUACGUG
This 468-nucleotide ribosomal RNA is filed under the name uncultured bacterium. RNAcentral's name for it is "partial 16S ribosomal RNA". It matches the Rfam family "Bacterial small subunit ribosomal RNA", at positions 28 to 507 of the family's 1533-position model. The record is from RNAcentral.